GGGGAAUAUUGCACAAUGGGCGCAAGCCUGAUGCAGCCAUGCCGCGUGUGUGAAGAAGGCCUUCGGGUUGUAAAGCACUUUCAGCGAGGAGGAAGGGUAGUGUGUUAAUAGCACAUUGCAUUGACGUUACUCGCAGAAGAAGCACCGGCUAACUCCGUGCCAGCAGCCGCGGUAAUACGGAGGGUGCAAGCGUUAAUUGGAAUUACUGGGCGUAAAGCGCACGCAGGCGGUUUGUUAAGUCAGAUGUGAAAUCCCCGCGCUUAACGUGGGAACUGCAUUUGAAACUGGCAAGCUAGAGUCUUGUAGAGGGGGGUAGAAUUCCAGGUGUAGCGGUGAAAUGCGUAGAGAUCUGGAGGAAUACCGGUGGCGAAGGCGGCCCCCUGGACAAAGACUGACGCUCAGGUGCG
RNAcentral lists this ribosomal RNA (407 nucleotides) under uncultured bacterium. Its description in RNAcentral is "partial 16S ribosomal RNA". It matches the Rfam family "Bacterial small subunit ribosomal RNA", at positions 356 to 755 of the family's 1533-position model. The record is from RNAcentral.